RNAcentral lists this microRNA precursor (157 nucleotides) under Pelobates cultripes (western spadefoot toad). The record is from RNAcentral. Lineage: Eukaryota; Metazoa; Chordata; Amphibia; Anura; Pelobatidae.
GCAGACACAUUCCAGCCAAUCAGCAGCAGACCCUCCCUCCCAGACCCUCCACCUCCUGGACAGCUCACUAAGAAUGCAGCUUCAAAAUGGAUGCUGUCCAGGAGGUGGUGAGGGUCUGGGAGGGAGGGUCUGCUGCUGAUUGGCUGGAAUGUGUCUG